Molecule: ribosomal RNA, 833 nt
Filed under: Salmonella enterica subsp. enterica
Lineage: Bacteria; Pseudomonadati; Pseudomonadota; Gammaproteobacteria; Enterobacterales; Enterobacteriaceae
Description: partial 23S ribosomal RNA
Rfam family: Bacterial large subunit ribosomal RNA
Source: RNAcentral
CUUGACACUGAACAUUGAGCCUUGAUGUGUAGGAUAGGUGGGAGGCUUUGAAGUGUGGACGCCAGUCUGCAUGGAGCCGACCUUGAAAUACCACCCUUUAAUGUUUGAUGUUCUAACGUGGACCCGUAAUCCGGGUUGCGGACAGUGUCUGGUGGGUAGUUUGACUGGGGCGGUCUCCUCCUAAAGAGUAACGGAGGAGCACGAAGGUUGGCUAAUCCUGGUCGGACAUCAGGAGGUUAGUGCAAUGGCAUAAGCCAGCUUGACUGCGAGCGUGACGGCGCGAGCAGGUGCGAAAGCAGGUCAUAGUGAUCCGGUGGUUCUGAAUGGAAGGGCCAUCGCUCAACGGAUAAAAGGUACUCCGGGGAUAACAGGCUGAUACCGCCCAAGAGUUCAUAUCGACGGCGGUGUUUGGCACCUCGAUGUCGGCUCAUCACAUCCUGGGGCUGAAGUAGGUCCCAAGGGUAUGGCUGUUCGCCAUUUAAAGUGGUACGCGAGCUGGGUUUAGAACGUCGUGAGACAGUUCGGUCCCUAUCUGCCGUGGGCGCUGGAGAACUGAGGGGGGCUGCUCCUAGUACGAGAGGACCGGAGUGGACGCAUCACUGGUGUUCGGGUUGUCAUGCCAAUGGCACUGCCCGGUAGCUAAAUGCGGAAGAGAUAAGUGCUGAAAGCAUCUAAGCACGAAACUUGCCCCGAGAUGAGUUCUCCCUGAGACUUAGAGUCUCCUGAAGGAACGUUGAAGACGACGACGUUGAUAGGCCGGGUGUGUAAGCGCAGCGAUGCGUUGAGCUAACCGGUACUAAUGAACCGUGAGGCUUAACCUUACAACGCCGAAG